UACGUAGGGACCAAGCGUUGUUCGGAUUUACUGGGCGUAAAGGGCGCGUAGGCGGCAAUUCAAGUCAUCUGUGAAAUCUCCGGGCUUAACUCGGAACGGUCAGAUGAUACUGCUUUGCUAGAGUGCGGAAGGGGCAAUCGGAAUUCUUGGUGUAGCGGUGAAAUGCGUAGAUAUCAAGAGGAACACCUGAGGUGAAGACGGGUUGCUGGGCCGACACUGACGCUGAGUGCGCGAAAGCAUGGGGAGCGAACAGG
This 254-nucleotide ribosomal RNA is filed under the name uncultured bacterium. RNAcentral's name for it is "partial 16S ribosomal RNA". It matches the Rfam family "Bacterial small subunit ribosomal RNA", at positions 524 to 776 of the family's 1533-position model. The record is from RNAcentral.